Molecule: ribosomal RNA, 465 nt
Filed under: uncultured bacterium
Lineage: Bacteria
Description: partial 16S ribosomal RNA
Rfam family: Bacterial small subunit ribosomal RNA
Source: RNAcentral
GACGAACGCUGGCGGCGUGCUUAACACAUGCAAGUCGAACGGAAAGGCCCCUUUGGGGGUACUCGAGUGGCGAACGGGUGCGUAACACGUGAGUAACCUGCCCUUGACUUCGGGAUAACUUCAGGAAACUGGGGCUAAUACCGGAUAGGAAUCCUUGCUGCAUGGGGGGGGUUGUAAAGCUUCGGCGGUUUUGGAUGGGCUCGCGGGUUAUCAGCUUGUUGGUGGGGUAGUGGCUUACCAAGGCGUUGACGGGUAGCCGGACUGAGAGGGCGACCGGCCACACUGGGACUGACAUACGGCACAGACUCCGAAGGGAGGCAGAAGGGGGGAAUCUUGCACGAUGGGCGGAAGGCGGAUGCAGCAAGGCCGCGGGCGGGAAGACGGCCUUCGGGUUGUAAAACGAUUUCAGCAGGGGCGAAGCUUGUGGUGACGGUACCUGCAGAAGAAGCACCGGCUAACUACGUG